AUCAAGCUGACGAGUCCCAAAUAGGACGAAACGCGCGUCCAACUGGAU
RNAcentral lists this non-coding RNA (48 nucleotides) under Schistosoma mattheei. Lineage: Eukaryota; Metazoa; Platyhelminthes; Trematoda; Strigeidida; Schistosomatidae. The record is from RNAcentral.